Molecule: ribosomal RNA, 504 nt
Filed under: uncultured bacterium
Lineage: Bacteria
Description: partial 16S ribosomal RNA
Rfam family: Bacterial small subunit ribosomal RNA
Source: RNAcentral
AUUGAACGCUGGCGGCAGGCCUAACACAUGCAAGUCGAACGGUAGCACAGAGAGCUUGCUCUCGGGUGACGAGUGGCGGACGGGUGAGUAACGUCUGGGAAACUGCCCGAUGGAGGGGGAUAACUACUGGAAACGGUAGCUAAUACCGCAUAACGUCGCAAGACCAAAGUGGGGGACCUUCGGGCCUCACACCAUCGGAUGUGCCCAGAUGGGAUUAGCUAGUAGGUGGGGUAAUGGCUCGCCUAGGCGACGAUCCCUAGCUGGUCUGAGAGGAUGACCAGCCACACUGGAACUGCGACACGGUCCAGAAUCCUACGGGAGGCAGCAGUGGGGAAUAUUGCACAAUGGGCGCAAGCCUGAUGCAGCCAUGCCGCGUGUAUGAAGAAGGCCUUCGGGUUGUAAAGUACUUUCAGCGGGGAGGAAGGCGGUGAAGUUAAUAACUUCACCGAUUGACGUUACCCGCAGAAGAAGCACCGGCUAACUCCGUGCCAGCAGCCGCGGUAA